This 464-nucleotide ribosomal RNA is filed under the name Vreelandella stevensii. RNAcentral describes it as "partial 16S ribosomal RNA". It matches the Rfam family "Bacterial small subunit ribosomal RNA", at positions 338 to 794 of the family's 1533-position model. Lineage: Bacteria; Pseudomonadati; Pseudomonadota; Gammaproteobacteria; Oceanospirillales; Halomonadaceae. The record is from RNAcentral.
CCUACGGGUGGCAGCAGUGGGGAAUAUUGGACAAUGGGCGAAAGCCUGAUCCAGCCAUGCCGCGUGUGUGAAGAAGGCCUUCGGGUUGUAAAGCACUUUCAGUGGGGAAGAAAGCCUUGGGGCUAAUACCCUCGAGGAAGGACAUCACCCACAGAAGAAGCACCGGCUAACUCCGUGCCAGCAGCCGCGGUAAUACGGAGGGUGCGAGCGUUAAUCGGAAUUACUGGGCGUAAAGCGCGCGUAGGCGGUCUGAUAAGCCGGUUGUGAAAGCCCCGGGCUCAACCUGGGAACGGCAUCCGGAACUGUCAGGCUAGAGUGCAGGAGAGGAAGGUAGAAUUCCCGGGGUAGCGGUGAAAUGCGUAGAGAUCGGGAGGAAUACCAGUGGCGAAGGCGGCCUUCUGGACUGACACUGACGCUGAGGUGCGAAAGCGUGGGUAGCAAACAGGAUUAGAUACCCUAGUAGC